This 604-nucleotide ribosomal RNA is filed under the name Heterochelus vulpinus. RNAcentral's name for it is "partial 16S large subunit ribosomal RNA". It matches the Rfam family "Bacterial large subunit ribosomal RNA", at positions 1844 to 2740 of the family's 2925-position model. Lineage: Eukaryota; Metazoa; Arthropoda; Insecta; Coleoptera; Scarabaeidae. The record is from RNAcentral.
UUUAAGGUCUAACCUGCCCAAUGAGUUUUAAAUGGCUGCGGUAAUUUGACCGUGCAAAGGUAGCAUAGUCAUUAGUUUUUUAAUUGAAAGCUGGAAUGAAUGGUUGGACGAGAAGAGAACUGUCUCAAUUUAAGUUAAUUAGAAUUUUAUUUUUAAGUUAAAAAGCUUAGAUGUAGUUAAAAGACGAGAAGACCCUAUAGAGUUUUAUAUUUUUUAUUUUAGUAGAAGUUAUUUAUUUUUAUUAAUUUAAUAAGUAUUUUGUUGGGGUGAUGAGAAAAUUUAAUUAACUUUUGUUUGUAUAUUACAUUUAUUAUUGGAAAUUUGAUCCAUUGUUUAUGAUUAUAAGAUAAAAUUACCUUAGGGAUAACAGCGUAAUUUUUUUUGAGAGUUCUUAUUGAAAAAACAGUUUGCGACCUCGAUGUUGGAUUAAAAUUUACUUUUGGUGUAGGAGCUAUAGAGUUAGGUCUGUUCGACCUUUAGAAUUUUACAUGAUCUGAGUUUAAACCGGUGUGAGCCAGGUUGGUUUCUAUCUUUAAUGUUUUAAUAUAUUUUAGUACGAAAGGAUUUGAUAUGUGUAAUAUUUAUUUUUAUUUGAAUAGUAUUA